This 72-nucleotide transfer RNA is filed under the name Camelus bactrianus (Bactrian camel). It matches the Rfam family "tRNA". Rfam says of the family: Transfer RNA (tRNA) molecules are approximately 80 nucleotides in length. Their secondary structure includes four short double-helical elements and three loops (D, anti-codon, and T loops). Further hydrogen bonds mediate the characteristic L-shaped molecular structure. tRNAs have two regions of fundamental functional importance: the anti-codon, which is responsible for specific mRNA codon recognition, and the 3' end, to which the tRNAs corresponding amino acid is attached (by aminoacyl-tRNA synthetases). tRNAs cope with the degeneracy of the genetic code in two manners: having more than one tRNA (with a specific anti-codon) for a particular amino acid; and 'wobble' base-pairing, i.e. permitting non-standard base-pairing at the 3rd anti-codon position. RNAcentral also lists the same sequence under 3 other names. Lineage: Eukaryota; Metazoa; Chordata; Mammalia; Artiodactyla; Camelidae. The record is from Rfam by way of RNAcentral.
GAGGGUAUAGCUCAGUGGUAGAGCACAUGCUUAGUGUGCAUGAGGUCCUGGGUUCAAACCUCAGUACCUCCU